UGUGCCAGCCGCCGCGGUAAUACGUAGGUGGCAAGCGUUAUCCGGAAUUAUUGGGCGUAAAGCGCGCGUAGGCGGUUUUUUAAGUCUGAUGUGAAAGCCCACGGCUCAACCGUGGAGGGUCAUUGGAAACUGGAAAACUUGAGUGCAGAAGAGGAAAGUGGAAUUCCAUGUGUAGCGGUGAAAUGCGCAGAGAUAUGGAGGAACACCAGUGGCGAAGGCGGCUUUCUGGUCUGCAACUGACGCUGAUGUGCGAAAGCGUGGGGAUCAAACAGGAUUAGAUACCCUGGUAGUCCACGCCGUAAACGAUGAGUGCUAAGUGUUAGGGGGUUUCCGCCCCUUAGUGCUGCAGCUAACGCAUUAAGCACUCCGCCUGGGGAGUACGGUCGCAAGACUGAAACUCAAAGGAAUUGACGGGGACCCGCACAAGCGGUGGAGCAUGUGGU
Molecule: ribosomal RNA, 443 nt
Filed under: uncultured bacterium
Lineage: Bacteria
Description: bacterial SSU rRNA
Rfam family: Bacterial small subunit ribosomal RNA
Source: RNAcentral